AGAUUGAACGCUGGCGGCACGCCUUACACAUGCAAGUCGAACGGCAGCACGGGAGCAAUCCUGGUGGCGAGUGGCGAACGGGUGAGUAGUAUAUCGGAACGUGCCCAGUAAUGGGGGAUAGCCCGGCGAAAGCCGGAUUAAUACCGCAUACGACCUACGGGUGAAAGCGGGGGAUCGCAAGACUUCGCGUUAUUGGAGCGGCCGAUAUCAGAUUAGCUUGUUGGCGGGGUAAAAGCCCACCAAGGCGACGAUCUGUAGCUGGUCUGAGAGGACGACCAGCCACACUGGGACUGAGACACGGCCCAGACUCCUACGGGAGGCAGCAGGUGGGGAAUUUUGGACAAGUGGGCGCAAGCCUGAUCCAGCCAUGCCGCGCGUGGGAAGAAGGCCUUCGGGUUGUAACCACGUUUUGUCGAGGAAGAAACGGCUACCUACUAAUAUUAGGAGCUAAUAGACGUACUAGAAGAAUAAGCACCGACUAACUACGUGCCAGC
Molecule: ribosomal RNA, 494 nt
Filed under: uncultured soil bacterium
Lineage: Bacteria
Description: bacterial SSU rRNA
Rfam family: Bacterial small subunit ribosomal RNA
Source: RNAcentral